CUUUGGUCGUUUGGAGGUGAAAAGGUGUUUCGGAAGGAAGUGAAGACAUUGUUUUGGUCGGACGAGUGCUGUUUUCUAAACGUUUGGCAAGCGAGUGUAAGCGUACCAGUUUCAAGUGCGGGCCAAAGUUAUUCAGUCAAGUUGAUUUCAGUAAUUCUACUCUUCUCCCAGUUGUUCCUAUACCGGCGUCUGUAACCGACGAGUUGCCAUCGUUGUUCAGGUUUCUCCACCAUUCUCGUUGCCUCCUCUUUUUCUUCAAAUAUUCCAUCAUGGCCGUCUCUGACCAUCCUGCAGGUGUCCCGUUUGCCAGCCUGCUGCUCCUUCAUUCUCUAUUGCUAACUGACUGCAAUGGUAAG
This is a long non-coding RNA of Sycon ciliatum, 356 nucleotides long. RefSeq lists it as uncharacterized. The record is from RefSeq and is a predicted model, not a curated record. The transcript has 3 exons. NCBI's taxonomy places the organism in Eukaryota, Metazoa, Porifera, Calcarea, Leucosolenida, Sycettidae.